This 460-nucleotide ribosomal RNA is filed under the name uncultured bacterium. RNAcentral describes it as "partial 16S ribosomal RNA". It matches the Rfam family "Bacterial small subunit ribosomal RNA", at positions 28 to 507 of the family's 1533-position model. The record is from RNAcentral.
GACGAACGCUGGCGGCGUGCUUAACACAUGCAAGUCGAGCGGUAAGGCCUCUUCGGGGGUACACGAGCGGCGAACGGGGGAGUAACACGUGGGUGACCUGCCCUCAGCUCUGGGAUAAGCCUGGGAAACUGGGUCUAAUACCCGAUAUGACCUUUCCUCGCAUGGGGUUGGGUGGAAAGUUUUUUCGGCUGGGGAUGGGCCCGCGGCCUAUCAGCUUGUUGGUGGGGCGAUGGCCUACCCAGGCGACGACGGGUAGCCGGCCUGGGAGGGCGACCGGCCACACUGGGACUGAGGCACGGCCCGGACUCCUUCGGGAGGCAGCAGUGGGGAAUCUUGCGCAAUGGGCGGAAGCCUGACGCAGCGACGCCGCGUGGGGGAUGACGGCCUUCGGGUUGUAAACCUCUUUCGACCCCGACGAAUUUGGACGGUAGGGGUAGAAGAAGCACCGGCCAACUACGUG